Molecule: ribosomal RNA, 445 nt
Filed under: uncultured bacterium
Lineage: Bacteria
Description: partial 16S ribosomal RNA
Rfam family: Bacterial small subunit ribosomal RNA
Source: RNAcentral
GUGAGGAAUAUUGGUCAAUGGACGGAAGUCUGAACCAGCCAUGCCGCGUGCAGGAAUAAGGUCCUAUGGAUUGUAAACUGCUUUUAUUCGGGAAUAAACCUCUUUACGUGUAGGGAGCUGAAGGUACCGAAGGAAUAAGCACCGGCUAACUCCGUGCCAGCAGCCGCGGUAAUACGGAGGGUGCAAGCGUUAUCCGGAAUCAUUGGGUUUAAAGGGUCCGCAGGCGGGCUAUCAAGUCAGAGGUGAAAUCCCACAGCUUAACUGUGGAACUGCCUUUGAAACUGAUGGUCUUGAAUUAAGUGGGCGUUGGCGGAAUAUGACAUGUAGCGGUGAACUGCAUAGAUAUGUCAUGGAACACCGAAAGCGAAGGCAGCUAACGAUACUUAUAUUGACGCUCAUGGACGAAAGCGUGGGUAGCGAACAGGAUUAGAUACCCGUGUAGUCC